CAGAUGUGUAUAAGAGACAGGUGAGUCAUCGAAUCUUUGAACGCAACUUGCGCUUAAAAUCAAUCAUUUUAAGCACACUUGUUUGAGUGUCGGUUUAUAACACACUUUUAAUGUGUUUGAGUUUCAACUAUUUAAUAGUCGUUACUUUAAAACUAUGCUAUGAUAUUUGAUUAUCUUUCACUUCUUAGUAUUUCUUUGAUUUGUAAUAGAUAACCCUUUUAUCAUUCAUUCCUCUCAAUUUCUCGACCUCAAAUCAAGUGAGAUUACCGGCUGAACUUAAGCAUAUCAAUAAGCGGAGGA
RNAcentral lists this unclassified non-coding RNA (300 nucleotides) under uncultured fungus. Its description in RNAcentral is "sequence contains 5.8S rRNA gene, ITS2". The stretch from base 1 to 92 matches the Rfam family "5.8S ribosomal RNA", at positions 58 to 154 of the family's 154-position model. The record is from RNAcentral. Lineage: Eukaryota; Fungi.